Molecule: long non-coding RNA, 1287 nt
Organism: Teleopsis dalmanni
Lineage: Eukaryota; Metazoa; Arthropoda; Insecta; Diptera; Diopsidae
Exons: 4
Source: RefSeq, a predicted model, not a curated record
AAAUUGUUGUAUUGUAUUUAUAUUUUGUUUUUAUUGGUUUUAAUAUCUUGUCGUCUUUCAAUUGGAAGGUUAAGCAGGAGUGUACUAAAAAUAGUGCUAACAUGCCUUAUAGAGCCGUUAAAAUACCUUCCAAGCAAAAUUUAUAUAGUUUACAAUCACAAAUUAAUCGUGUGACCGAAAAAUUAAAAGAUAUGGAGUACAAACGUGAAUUAUUGGAGAUCAAAUACAGAAUAUAUGAGGAAAGCCUAAAAGAAGCGCUUAACAGCGUUGAGUUGGGUUUGAAGAGAAGGCAGAAAAAGAGAAUGAUUUUCAAAAGUAGACACAGUUUAAAUAGCAAAAAAAGUGCCAAACAAUGAACUUCGAACUAAAAGGGACAGUUGCAGAAUAAAAGGGACAGUUGCAGACUAAGAGGGACAGUUGCAGACUAAAAGGGACAGUUGCAGACUAAGAGGGACAGUUGCAGACUAAAACGGACAGUUGCAGACUAAGAGGGACAGUCGCAGACAAGUAAGUGGACAUUUACGUUGAGCUUUCUCAUAAGCUUAGAAGGUACACAAAAGUUAUAACUAAAAUAAGACUGCACUGACACUGUUGCUCUUAGCCAGAACCAGAACUUUAGCUACUAAAAAGAGAGAGGAUAUGCUACAGCUCUUGCGCAUCUAAGAGCUGAAUAUUUUUAAAUCGCUGAAAUCCUCAAUAUUAAGAGAUUACAAAUACUUAGAUUGUGAGCUUACGUGAGGAGUAAAGUACGGUGAAGUAUGGUUUUAAACUUCAAAAAGAUGGUUCGAUGGUGUACGAUUACUGGCUUGAAACUGUAAAAAUUUAUGCUGCGAGAAGGAUAAAUGUUUUAAAGACAUAGUAAUAUCAAAGUUAUUGAGGCUCUGGUUGAAGGGAUGUGUUGGCAUAUUUUUAGUACACGUUUUAGUCAAAUAUUAUAGUUUCUUUUUUUGGCUAUUAUCAAUUUGGUAAAUUUGAAAAUGAUGAUUAUGUUCAAAGUCAUAAUUUGGAAAAAUUAUAAAGCAAAAUUUCUAUGGAACCACUCUAGAGCAACAAAAGGGAUUUCUUGCAAAAACCUAUAACAAGAUUGCUCACCGGAUGAACGAGGAUGUGGAGUUUGGUCCAAAUUUAAAUUUCGAAAAAUAAAGAGAACGUGACUAUUGGACUAUGAUGUUUUAUUCCAAAACAUUUCGAAAAAAUUCCUGCUAAAUUUCCAACAAGCCUUCCACCUUAAGAUCGAAAAUUAUAUACAAGAUAUAUAAAACCAAUGAAAUAAUUAAAAAUAAAAAA